GAAAUUAACUUGGAGCGGGCCAGGCUUUCAUUUGAUGAAAUACGUAAUGAUUGUCUGCUCUCAUCAGAGGCCUAUGCUGAUGGAAUGCCCUGAUGAUAAUGUUUGCUCCGAAAGUCACAGGCUAGUUCCAAAUGCUGGAACCCCGCUGUAAACACUGUGAUUGGCAGCAGUGGUGGUACAGUAUGAGGGUAAUGAGAGUAGGACAUGACAGAGAGAAGCAUAUCAGCCCCAACAGAUCCCACCAGGCUGAGAGGUAAAAAGAGGGAUUAGUCCAUACGCAGGCCUGAGUCUCCAGUCGACGAGAAGGAAAGCCUUUCUUUGACAUAUUGAUUCAGAGUUAUUAACUUGACUGUAUGUUCCAGCCAGACUAGCCCCCACCGGUUGUAACCGACUUGUCUCAUUACAGUGAA
Long non-coding RNA from Osmerus eperlanus (European smelt), 410 nucleotides. RefSeq lists it as uncharacterized. NCBI's taxonomy places the organism in Eukaryota, Metazoa, Chordata, Actinopteri, Osmeriformes, Osmeridae. The record is from RefSeq and is a predicted model, not a curated record. The transcript has 3 exons.